This 439-nucleotide ribosomal RNA is filed under the name uncultured bacterium. RNAcentral's name for it is "bacterial SSU rRNA". It matches the Rfam family "Bacterial small subunit ribosomal RNA", at positions 954 to 1392 of the family's 1533-position model. The record is from RNAcentral.
GCACAACGCGAAGAACCUUACCAGCCCUUGACAUGGACACCGCCGGGAGCAGAGACGUUCCCUUCGGUUCGGCCGGGUGUCACACAGGUGCUGCAUGGCUGUCGUCAGCUCGUGUCGUGAGAUGUUGGGUUAAGUCCCGCAACGAGCGCAACCCUCGCCCUUAGUUGCCAUCAUUGAGUUGGGCACUCUAGGGGAACUGCCGGUGACAAGCCGGAGGAAGGCGGGGAUGACGUCAAGUCCUCAUGGCCCUUACGGGCUGGGCUACACACGUGCUACAAUGGCGGUGACAGUGGGCAGCGAUCCCGCGAGGGUGAGCUAAUCCCCAAAAGCCGUCUCAGUUCGGAUUGCACUCUGCAACUCGGGUGCAUGAAGGCGGAAUCGCUAGUAAUCGCGGAUCAGCACGCCGCGGUGAAUACGUUCCCGGGUCUUGUACACACCG